GACGAACGCUGGCGGCGUGCUUAACACAUGCAAGUCGAACGGAAAGGCCCUGCUUUUGUGGGGUGCUCGAGUGGCGAACGGGUGAGUAACACGUGAGUAACCUGCCCUUGACUUUGGGAUAACUUCAGGAAACUGGGGCUAAUACCGGAUAGGAGCUCCUGCUGCAUGGUGGGGGUUGGAAAGUUUCGGCGGUUGGGGAUGGACUCGCGGCUUAUCAGCUUGUUGGUGGGGUAGUGGCUUACCAAGGCUUUGACGGGUAGCCGGCCUGGGAGGGUGACCGGCCACAUUGGGACUGAGAUACGGCCCAGACUCCUACGGGAGGCAGCAGUGGGGAAUAUUGCACAAUGGGCGGAAGCCUGAUGCAGCAACGCCGCGUGCGGGAUGACGGCCUUCGGGUUGUAAACCGCUUUCGCCGGUGACGAAGCGUGAGUGACGGUAAUUGGUAAAGAAGCACCGGCUAACUACGUG
RNAcentral lists this ribosomal RNA (468 nucleotides) under uncultured bacterium. Its description in RNAcentral is "partial 16S ribosomal RNA". It matches the Rfam family "Bacterial small subunit ribosomal RNA", at positions 28 to 507 of the family's 1533-position model. The record is from RNAcentral.